GUGCUCACUUCAGCAGCACAUAUACUAAAAUUGGAAUAAUACAGAGAAGAUUAGCAUGACCCUGUGCAAGGAUGACAUGCAAAUUCAUGACGUGUUCCAUAUUAAA
This is a small nuclear RNA of Otolemur garnettii (small-eared galago), 106 nucleotides long. NCBI's taxonomy places the organism in Eukaryota, Metazoa, Chordata, Mammalia, Primates, Galagidae. The record is from Ensembl.